UACGUAGGGGGCAAGCGUUGUCCGGAAUUAUUGGGCGUAAAGAGCUCGUAGGCGGCUUGUCGCGUCGACUGUGAAAACCCACGGCUUAACCGUGGGACUGCAGUCGAUACGGGCAGGCUAGAGUUCGGUAGGGGAGACUGGAAUUCCUGGUGUAGCGGUGAAAUGCGCAGAUAUCAGGAGGAACACCGGUGGCGAAGGCGGGUCUCUGGGCCGAUACUGACGCUGAGGAGCGAAAGCGUGGGGAGCGAACAGG
This 253-nucleotide ribosomal RNA is filed under the name uncultured bacterium. Its description in RNAcentral is "partial 16S ribosomal RNA". It matches the Rfam family "Bacterial small subunit ribosomal RNA", at positions 524 to 776 of the family's 1533-position model. The record is from RNAcentral.